RNAcentral lists this ribosomal RNA (465 nucleotides) under Vreelandella stevensii. Its description in RNAcentral is "partial 16S ribosomal RNA". It matches the Rfam family "Bacterial small subunit ribosomal RNA", at positions 338 to 795 of the family's 1533-position model. Lineage: Bacteria; Pseudomonadati; Pseudomonadota; Gammaproteobacteria; Oceanospirillales; Halomonadaceae. The record is from RNAcentral.
CCUACGGGGGGCAGCAGUGGGGAAUAUUGGACAAUGGGGGCAACCCUGAUCCAGCCAUGCCGCGUGUGUGAAGAAGGCCCUCGGGUUGUAAAGCACUUUCAGUGAGGAAGAACGCCUGGUGGUUAAUACCCAUCAGGAAAGACAUCACUCACAGAAGAAGCACCGGCUAACUCCGUGCCAGCAGCCGCGGUAAUACGGAGGGUGCGAGCGUUAAUCGGAAUUACUGGGCGUAAAGCGCGCGUAGGUGGCUUGAUAAGCCGGUUGUGAAAGCCCCGGGCUCAACCUGGGAACGGCAUCCGGAACUGUCAAGCUAGAGUGCAGGAGAGGAAGGUAGAAUUCCCGGUGUAGCGGUGAAAUGCGUAGAGAUCGGGAGGAAUACCAGUGGCGAAGGCGGCCUUCUGGACUGACACUAACACUGAGGUGCGAAAGCGUGGGUAGCAAACAGGAUUAGAUACCCCAGUAGUC